This 323-nucleotide ribosomal RNA is filed under the name uncultured eukaryote. RNAcentral's name for it is "partial 18S ribosomal RNA". It matches the Rfam family "Eukaryotic small subunit ribosomal RNA", at positions 1470 to 1796 of the family's 1831-position model. The record is from RNAcentral.
CCCUUAGAUGUUCUGGGCUGCACGCGUGCUACACUGAUAUUGCCAAUAUGUCAUUCUUAUCCGAAAUGGAUUGGGUAAUCAAGUAAUGAAAUUUCAUGCGUGGAAUCGGUAAUUGCAAUUUUAUCGUGAACGAGGAAUUCCUAGUAAGCACUAGUCAUCAGCUAAUGUUGAUUAUGUCCCUGCCCUUUGUACACACCGCCCGUCGCUACUACUGAUUGGGUGUUCAAGUGAGAUGCUUAGACCCUUGUUGCAUGGUUCAUUAUUGUGCUCCGAAAGGAAAAAGUUUCAAGCUUGAGUGUCUAGAGGAAGUAAAAGUCGUAACA